This 497-nucleotide ribosomal RNA is filed under the name uncultured bacterium. RNAcentral's name for it is "partial 16S ribosomal RNA". It matches the Rfam family "Bacterial small subunit ribosomal RNA", at positions 28 to 507 of the family's 1533-position model. The record is from RNAcentral.
GAUGAACGCUGGCGGCGUGCCUAAUACAUGCAAGUCGAGCGAACAGACGAGGAGCUUGCUCCUCUGACGUUAGCGGCGGACGGGUGAGUAGCACGUGGAUAACCUACCUAUAAGACUGGGAUAACUUCGGGAAACCGGAGCUAAUACCGGACAAUAUAUUGAACCGCAUGGUUCAAUAGUGAAAGACGGUUUUGCUGUCACUUAUAGAUGGAUCCGCGCCGCAUUAGCUAGUUGGUAAGGUAACGGCUUACCAAGGCAACGAUGCGUAGCCGACCUGAGAGGGUGAUCGGCCACACUGGAACUGAGACACGGUCCAGACUCCUACGGGAGGCAGCAGUAGGGAAUCUUCCGCAAUGGGCGAAAGCCUGACGGAGCAACGCCGCGUGAGUGAUGAAGGUCUUCGGAUCGUAAAACUCUGUUAUUAGGGAAGAACAAAUGUGUAAGUAACUAUGCACGUCUUGACGGUACCUAAUCAGAAAGCCACGGCUAACUACGUG